Molecule: ribosomal RNA, 217 nt
Filed under: Peribacillus frigoritolerans
Lineage: Bacteria; Bacillati; Bacillota; Bacilli; Caryophanales; Bacillaceae
Also listed under: 1 other name
Description: partial 16S ribosomal RNA
Rfam family: Bacterial small subunit ribosomal RNA
Source: RNAcentral
UCUUCGGAGAGUUUGAUCCUGGCUCAGGACGAACGCUGGCGGCGUGCCUAAUACAUGCAAGUCGAGCGAAUCGAUGGGAGCUUGCUCCCUGAGAUUAGCGGCGGACGGGUGAGUAACACGUGGGCAACCUGCCUAUAAGACUGGGAUAACUUCGGGAAACCGGAGCUAAUACCGGAUACGUUCUUUUCUCGCAUGAGAGAAGAUGGAAAGACGGUUU